This 962-nucleotide long non-coding RNA is filed under the name Capsella grandiflora. RNAcentral describes it as "long non-coding RNA (CGRA_LNC000236)". Lineage: Eukaryota; Viridiplantae; Streptophyta; Magnoliopsida; Brassicales; Brassicaceae. The record is from RNAcentral.
GUCUAAGCCACCGACUCCACCGGGGCCGGAACGAGAGUCACCGCAUCGCUGGCAAGAAUCACGGCGCUGGAAGUUGAGGUGGCUGCAUGACCUACAGUUCCAAUCUCCGGGUCUGCUCAUUCUUCAAAUCUUGUUUGCGUGCGAGUUUAUAUUAUUUUUCUGUAACAUGCAUAUUAAUUUGAAUAUUUCUAUUAGUUACUUAUUUGAUGUAACCAAAAAAAAAAUGUUAGAUAAUUAUUCAGUUUAAUUAACCUCAUAAACUACUAUAAAAACAAAAUAUUGCUGAGUAACCAUAGCUACUAAGGAAAAUGAAUUUCUUAUGCACUUGCUUUCGUUUAAAGUUAGGACAAAAGAAUUGUACUUAUUUAUGCAUAAGCUAAUCAUAAUAGUGGGUAUAUGCAUGUAUAUUCAUAAGCUUAUUCUAUUUAUGAUAGAUCAAUCAACUUCUUAUAUUCAUCACGUAUAACGAAUUACUUGCCAAUAUCUUGUGGCUACAUAUAUUCGAAAAUCAAUAUCCAAAAUAUUCAAAUACUAUGAAUUGAUAUAAAAUUUAAAAGACUGACCUCGAAGAACUUGGAAGCUAGAGAUGUGAUGAUGAGUCUAGUGAAAGAAAAAUAAGGCACGAGGCUUUGAAAGAGUGAUGUGAAGAGGAAGGGCUUAAAUAGAACACAGAAGAACACAAGCUGGUGGCUCGUUCACCAAAAAUUAAAAUAAAAUAAAAUAAUUUACUUUUUCGUUUUCUUCACCUCAAUUGUAAACUUUCGCAAAAGAAGAGCAACAAAAAACCUCAUAAUAUUUAAAAAUAAAUUAAGUGAAAAUUUCGGCUGAGAAACCCAAGCCUAGAAAUUCUUUAAUAUAUGUGUAAUUACUUUGGCCAUAUAUAACUUAUAGAGUGUUUCUUGUACUAUGAUACUUGUUUAACUAUAUUAUGGUAAUUACUUUGGCCGUAGCUUUGUUGUAUU